GGAAGAGUAUCGAAGUGGUUGUAACGAGCUGCUCUCGAAAAGCAGUUGUCCGCAAGGGCACGUGGGUUCGAAUCCCACCUCUUCCGCCA
This 89-nucleotide transfer RNA is filed under the name Bacillus subtilis. RNAcentral's name for it is "tRNA-Ser". It matches the Rfam family "tRNA". Rfam says of the family: Transfer RNA (tRNA) molecules are approximately 80 nucleotides in length. Their secondary structure includes four short double-helical elements and three loops (D, anti-codon, and T loops). The record is from RNAcentral. RNAcentral also lists the same sequence under 1 other name. Lineage: Bacteria; Bacillati; Bacillota; Bacilli; Caryophanales; Bacillaceae.